RNAcentral lists this ribosomal RNA (484 nucleotides) under uncultured bacterium. Its description in RNAcentral is "partial 16S ribosomal RNA". It matches the Rfam family "Bacterial small subunit ribosomal RNA", at positions 30 to 507 of the family's 1533-position model. The record is from RNAcentral.
AUUGAACGCUAGCGGGAUGCUUUACACAUGCAAGUCGAACGGCAGCGCGGACUUCGGUCUGGCGGCGAGUGGCGAACGGGUGAGUAAUGUAUCGGAACGUGCCCAGUAGCGGGGGAUAACUACGCGAAAGCGUAGCUAAUACCGCAUACGCCCUACGGGGGAAAGCAGGGGAUCGUAAGACCUUGCACUAUUGGAGCGGCCGAUAUCGGAUUAGCUAGUUGGUGAGGUAACGGCUCACCAAGGCGACGAUCCGUAGCUGGUUUGAGAGGACGACCAGCCGCACUGGGACUGAGACACGGCCCAGACUCCUACGGGAGGCAGCAGUGGGGAAUUUUGGACAAUGGGGGCAACCCUGAUCCAGCCAUCCCGCGUGUGCGAUGAAGGCCUUCGGGUUGUAAAGCACUUUUGGCAGGAAAGAAACGUCGCGGGCUAAUACCCCGUGGAACUGACGGUACCUGCAGAAUAAGCACCGGCUAACUACGUG